Non-coding RNA from Hydra vulgaris (swiftwater hydra), 620 nucleotides. The record is from RefSeq and is a predicted model, not a curated record. NCBI's taxonomy places the organism in Eukaryota, Metazoa, Cnidaria, Hydrozoa, Anthoathecata, Hydridae.
AGAUUAUUAAUUAACUAAAAAUUAGUAUUUUUGAAGUCAAUUUUGAGGUAUGGCUCAAGCAGCAGACCAACAAGUGACUAGUUCCAAUGGAGAUAAAUCAUCACCAGUGCUACUAAACAACAGUGAUGGUUGAUUGGUGUUAAGCAGCAUUUCACUGAGAAUGUGGUAAAUCAAUCUAUAGCAACUUCUGAAAUUACUUCAGAAAUCCAAGAUAUACCUGAGCUGAUUAUUUUUUAAAUUAUUUUGAAUGGUUUGAAGAGUAUGAUGUUUUUAUACAUAACUAAAGUUAAAACAACUUGAUGUAUAAAAACUAAGUAGCUGCAUAUACAGUGCUUCUGAUGAGCACCUAGAGAUAUGUUAGACCGGGAUGCAUGGUGUAGCAGAAGAUCUGGAAAUAUUCCUCUUCUUUUGGUGGAUGGAGAUGUGUUUAUGCUAAUUGUUUAGCAAACGAUAAUGGCUAAUGUGCAAGUUGCAUAAAAAACCAUUCUUACUGAUAUAGCAUUGUUUUAUUUAAUAAAUUUUGAUUAUACAAAAGACUAUGAGAUUGCACUAAGUAUGUUGCAGUUUUUUUUUGAUAACAAAGUAUCCUAGCAGAUUUAAUAAAACAUUUCCGCAUGAAU